GACAGCAGCAGCCGCGGGAAUACGAAGGGUGCAAGCGUUAAUCGGAAUUACUGGGCGUAAAGCGUGCGUAGGCGGUUUGUUAAGUCUGCUGUGAAAUCCCCGGGCUCAACCUGGGAAUGGCAGUGGAUACUGGCAAGCUAGAGUGUGUCAGAGGAUGGUGGAAUUCCCGGUGUAGCGGUGAAAUGCGUAGAGAUCGGGAGGAACAUCAGUGGCGAAGGCGGCCAUCUGGGACAACACUGACGCUGAGGCACGAAAGCGUGGGGAGCAAACAGGAUUAGAUACCCGUGUAGUCCCUGUCUCUUAUAA
RNAcentral lists this ribosomal RNA (306 nucleotides) under uncultured bacterium. Its description in RNAcentral is "partial 16S ribosomal RNA". It matches the Rfam family "Bacterial small subunit ribosomal RNA", at positions 507 to 809 of the family's 1533-position model. The record is from RNAcentral.